This 253-nucleotide ribosomal RNA is filed under the name uncultured bacterium. RNAcentral describes it as "partial 16S ribosomal RNA". It matches the Rfam family "Bacterial small subunit ribosomal RNA", at positions 524 to 776 of the family's 1533-position model. The record is from RNAcentral.
CACGUAGGGCGCAAGCGUUGUCCGGAAUUAUUGGGCGUAAAGAGCACGUAGGCGGUCUGUUACGUCUGCUGUGAAAACCCUGGGCUUAACCCUGGGCUUGCAGUGGAUACGGGCAGACUAGAGGCAGGUAGGGGAGAAUGGAAUUCCCGGUGUAGCGGUGAAAUGCGCAGAUAUCGGGAGGAACACCGGUGGCGAAGGCGGUUCUCUGGGCCUGACCUGACGCUGAGGAGCGAAAGCGUGGGGAGCGAACAGG